Molecule: ribosomal RNA, 250 nt
Filed under: uncultured bacterium
Lineage: Bacteria
Description: partial 16S ribosomal RNA
Rfam family: Bacterial small subunit ribosomal RNA
Source: RNAcentral
UACGAAGGGGGCUAGCGUUGUUCGGAAUUACUGGGCGUAAAGCGCAUGUAGGCGGGUCGUUAAGUCGGGGGUGAAAGCCCAGAGCUCAACUCUGGAACUGCCUUCGAUACUGGCGACCUGGACCCAAGGAGAGGCGAGUGGAAUUGCGAGUGUAGAGGUGAAAUUCGUAGAUAUUGUGAGGAACAUCAGUUGCGAAGGCGGCUUUCUGGCCUGAUCCUGACGCUGAGGCGCGAAAGUGUGGGGAGCAAAC